CUUACAGAACAUGAUCUUUGAUAGAUUUAUGUUAUUUAUGUUAAGUAGAGAUGUUAAAGCAUCCAUCCAACCAUUUUCUGUACUGUUUAUCCUACACAGGGUCAUGGGGAGCCUGGAGCCUAUCCCAGGGAACUCAGGGCUCAAGGCGAGGACAGGGUGCCAACCCAUCGCAGGGCAUACAUACUCACACACCCGUUCACACACUAUGGACAAUUUGGACAUGCCAGUCAGCCUACAACCCUUGUCUUUGGACUGGGGGAGGAAACUGGAGUACCCAGAGGAAAACCCCUAAGAACAGGGAACAUGCAAACAAAGCAUGCAAACUCCAUGCACACAGGGCAGAGGUGGGAAUCGAACCCCCAACCACGGAGGUGAAAAUACUUUUCAGAGAGAAGAAUCUUUGCCUGUACAGAUGGAUACCACUAAACGUUGUGGAAAGUGCAAGUACCCGGAACGACUUUUUAGUGAACUGCACUACAUUCUGCAUUCGAAUAGAUUUGGUAAGACUUUUAUAUCCAUAUUUGUCUCAUACGAAGACUUUCAAUAGUUGUGGUUUUGAAUUCAUGUCU
Long non-coding RNA from Ictalurus punctatus (channel catfish), 569 nucleotides. The record is from Ensembl. Lineage: Eukaryota; Metazoa; Chordata; Actinopteri; Siluriformes; Ictaluridae.